CAGAGGGUGCAAGCGUUGUUCGGAAUUACUGGGCGUAAAGCGCGCGCAGGCGGAUCCUGCAAGUCAGAAGUGAAAUCUCAUUGCUCAACGAUGAGGCUGUCUUUUGAUACUGCGGAUCUGGAGACCGGUAGAGGCUGGUAGAAUUGCAGGUGUAGCGGUGGAAUGCGUAGAGAUCUGCAAGAAUACCCGUGGCGAAGGCGGCCAGCUGGGCCGGUUCUGACGCUGAGGCGCGAAAGCGUGGGGAGCAAACAGGAUUAGACUACCCUGGUAGUCCACGACCGUAAACGAGUGGGCACUAGGUGCUGGGGGGAGCGACCCCGUCAGUGCCGUAGCUAACGCGAUAAGUGCCCCGCCUGGGGAGUACGGCCGCAAGGCUG
RNAcentral lists this ribosomal RNA (377 nucleotides) under uncultured organism. Its description in RNAcentral is "bacterial SSU rRNA". It matches the Rfam family "Bacterial small subunit ribosomal RNA", at positions 526 to 896 of the family's 1533-position model. The record is from RNAcentral.